This 67-nucleotide transfer RNA is filed under the name Meriones meridianus (mid-day jird). RNAcentral describes it as "tRNA-Phe". It matches the Rfam family "tRNA". From Rfam's summary of the family: Transfer RNA (tRNA) molecules are approximately 80 nucleotides in length. Their secondary structure includes four short double-helical elements and three loops (D, anti-codon, and T loops). The record is from RNAcentral. Lineage: Eukaryota; Metazoa; Chordata; Mammalia; Rodentia; Muridae.
GUUAAUGUAGCUUAACACCAAAGCAAAGCACUGAAAAUGCUGAGAUGGACACUCAGUCCCAUAAACA